Molecule: ribosomal RNA, 522 nt
Filed under: uncultured bacterium
Lineage: Bacteria
Description: partial 16S ribosomal RNA
Rfam family: Bacterial small subunit ribosomal RNA
Source: RNAcentral
UGGGGAAUUUUGGACAGUGGGGGCAACCCUGAUCCAGCAAUGCCGCGUGAGUGAAGAAGGCCUUCGGGUUGUAAAGCUCUUUUGUCCGGGAAGAAAUCCCAUCCCUGAAUACGGGAUGGGGAUGACGGUACUGGAAGAAUAAGCACCGGCUAACUACGUGCCAGCAGCCGCGGUAAUACGUAGGGUGCAAGCGUUAAUCGGAAUUACUGGGCGUAAAGCGUGCGCAGGCGGUUGUGCAAGACCGAUGUGAAAUCCCCGGGCUUAACCUGGGAACUGCAUUGGUGACUGCACGGCUAGAGUGUGUCAGAGGGGGGUAGAAUUCCACGUGUAGCAGUGAAAUGCGUAGAGAUGUGGAGGAAUACCGAUGGCGAAGGCAGCCCCCUGGGAUAACACUGACGCUCAUGCACGAAAGCGUGGGGAGCAAACAGGAUUAGAUACCCUGGUAGUCCACGCCCUAAACGAUGUCAACUAGUUGUCGGGGAUUAAUUUCCUUGGUAACGCAGCUAACGCGUGAAGUUGACC